This 537-nucleotide ribosomal RNA is filed under the name Halomonas sp. A14. Its description in RNAcentral is "bacterial SSU rRNA". It matches the Rfam family "Bacterial small subunit ribosomal RNA", at positions 88 to 660 of the family's 1533-position model. The record is from RNAcentral. Lineage: Bacteria; Pseudomonadati; Pseudomonadota; Gammaproteobacteria; Oceanospirillales; Halomonadaceae.
GGGUUUAGCGGCGGACGGGUUAGUAACGCGUGGGAACGUGCCCUUCACUGCGGAAUAGUCCCGGGAAACUGGGUUUAAUACCGCAUACGCCCUUCGGGGGAAAGAUUUAUCGGUGAAGGAUCGGCCCGCGUUAGAUUAGGUAGUUGGUGGGGUAAUGGCCUACCAAGCCUACGAUCUAUAGCUGGUUUGAGAGGAUGAUCAGCAACACUGGGACUGAGACACGGCCCAGACUCCUACGGGAGGCAGCAGUGGGGAAUCUUCGGCAAUGGGCGCAAGCCUGACCGAGCCAUGCCGCGUGAGCGAUGAAGGCCUUAGGGUUGUAAAGCUCUUUCGCCAGGGAUGAUAAUGACAGUACCUGGUAAAGAAACCCCGGCUAACUCCGUGCCAGCAGCCGCGGUAAUACGGAGGGGGUUAGCGUUGUUCGGAAUUACUGGGCGUAAAGCGCACGUAGGCGGACUGGAAAGUUGGGGGUGAAAUCCCGGGGCUCAACCCCGGAACUGCCUUCAAAACUCCCAGUCUUGAGUUCGAGAGAGGUGA